UACGUAGGGACCGAGCGUUGUCCGGAUUCAUUGGGCGUAAAGAGCUUGUAGGCGGUCUGUCGCGUCUGCUGUGAAAAUCCGGGGCUCAACCCCGGACUUGCAGUGGGUACGGGCAGACUAGAGUGUGGUAGGGGAGACUGGAAUUCCUGGUGUAGCGGUGAAAUGCGCAGAUAUCAGGAGGAACACCGAUGGCGAAGGCAGGUCUCUGGGCCACUACUGACGCUGAGAAGCGAAAGCAUGGGGAGCGAACAGG
This 253-nucleotide ribosomal RNA is filed under the name uncultured bacterium. Its description in RNAcentral is "partial 16S ribosomal RNA". It matches the Rfam family "Bacterial small subunit ribosomal RNA", at positions 524 to 776 of the family's 1533-position model. The record is from RNAcentral.